This 401-nucleotide unclassified non-coding RNA is filed under the name Helichrysum asperum. RNAcentral's name for it is "partial external transcribed spacer". Lineage: Eukaryota; Viridiplantae; Streptophyta; Magnoliopsida; Asterales; Asteraceae. The record is from RNAcentral.
GAGUGGUGUUUGGUUUGUUACGGGUGGUUGGCUCUUUGCUUGCGCAACAACUUCCACCUGGCAUACCUCUUCAGUCUUGUGUCAAUGUUUGUUUUGCAUUGAAUGCACGACGGGUUUCUUGUGUUGCAUGCCUAAUUAAUGGUAUCGUUUGAUGAAUUGGUUUCCCUUUUCGUCUUGCGUCGCCUAUGCGAUGUGAGAUGAACCUUGAAGCAGCCUUUGUGAUCCACACUUUUGAUGCAUACGCAUUGAUUUUGUGGCCCAUUAAGUGUUGCUCGGUCUCAUGGAUAUGGAACCUGGUGUGGGCAUGGAAUCGUAAUGGUUCCUUGUUUGCCCAAGUUUAGCUUUUUUAAAACGAUUUGUCUAUCAUGUGUUAGCGUGGUAGACUAUGUCGAAUAUGAAUG